Molecule: ribosomal RNA, 253 nt
Filed under: uncultured bacterium
Lineage: Bacteria
Description: partial 16S ribosomal RNA
Rfam family: Bacterial small subunit ribosomal RNA
Source: RNAcentral
UACGUAGGGUGCGAGCGUUGUCCGGAAUUAUUGGGCGUAAAGGGCUCGUAGGCGGUUUGUCGCGUCGGGAGUGAAAACUCAGGGCUUAACCCUGAGCCUGCUCCCGAUACGGGCAGACUAGAGGUAUGCAGGGGAGAACGGAAUUCCUGGUGUAGCGGUGAAAUGCGCAGAUAUCAGGAGGAACACCGGUGGCGAAGGCGGUUCUCUGGGCAUUACCUGACGCUGAGGAGCGAAAGCUAGGGGAGCAAACGGG